Molecule: ribosomal RNA, 313 nt
Filed under: Pharaxonotha sp. D0035
Lineage: Eukaryota; Metazoa; Arthropoda; Insecta; Coleoptera; Erotylidae
Description: partial 16S large subunit ribosomal RNA
Rfam family: Bacterial large subunit ribosomal RNA (bases 178-313)
Source: RNAcentral
GACCCUAUAGAGUUUAAUAUUUAAUUAAUAAAUUAUUUUUUAGAAUUUAAUGAUAAUUUAUUAAUUAAUUAUUUGAUUGGGGUGAUUGAAAAAUUUAAGUAACUUUUUUUAUAUUAAAACAUUAAUUUAUGAUUGUUUGAUCCAUUAAUUAUGAUUAUAAGAUUAAAUUACCUUAGGGAUAACAGCGUAAUUUUUUUUAAGAGUUCAAAUCGAAAAAAAAGAUUGCGACCUCGAUGUUGGAUUAAAAUUUAUUUUUGGUGUAGAAGCUAAAUUUAUUGGGUCUGUUCGACCCUUAAAAUUUUACAUGAUCUGA